RNAcentral lists this ribosomal RNA (1346 nucleotides) under uncultured bacterium. RNAcentral's name for it is "partial 16S ribosomal RNA". It matches the Rfam family "Bacterial small subunit ribosomal RNA", at positions 28 to 1381 of the family's 1533-position model. The record is from RNAcentral.
GACGAACGCUGGCGGCGUGCUUAACACAUGCAAUUCGAACGGAAAGGCCCUGCUUUUGUGGGGUGCUCGAGUGGCGAACGGGUGAGUAACACGUGAGUAACCUGCCCUUGACUUUGGGAUAACUUCAGGAAACUGGGGCUAAUACCGGAUAGGAGCUCCUGCUGCAUGGUGGGGGUUGGAAAGUUUCGGCGGUUGGGGAUGGACCCGCGGCUUAUCAGCUUGUUGGUGGGGUAGUGGCUUACCAAGGCUUUGACGGGUAGCCGGCCUGAGAGGGUGACCGGCCACAUUGGGACUGAGAUACGGCCCAGACUCCUACGGGAGGCAGCAGUGGGGAAUAUUGCACAAUGGGCGGAAGCCUGAUGCAGCAACGCCGCGUGCGGGAUGACGGCCUUCGGGUUGUAAACCGCUUUCGCCUGUGACGAAGCGUGAGUGACGGUAAUGGGUAAAGAAGCACCGGCUAACUACGUGCCAGCAGCCGCGGUGAUACGUAAGGUGCGAGCGUUGUCCGGAUUUAUUGGGCGUAAAGGGCUCGUAGGUGGUUGAUCGCGUCGGAAGUGUAAUCUUGGGGCUUAACCCUGAGCGUGCUUUCGAUACGGGUUGACUUGAGGAAGGUAGGGGAGAAUGGAAUUCCUGGUGGAGCGGUGGAAUGCGCAGAUAUCAGGAGGAACACCAGUGGCGAAGGCGGUUCUCUGGGCCUUUCCUGACGCUGAGGAGCGAAAGCGUGGGGAGCGAACAGGCUUAGAUACCCUGGUAGUCCACGCUGUAAACGGUGGGUACUAGGUGUGGGGUCCAUUCCACGGGUUCCGUGCCGUAGCUAACGCUUUAAGUACCCCGCCUGGGGAGUACGGCCGCAAGGCUAAAACUCAAAGGAAUUGACGGGGCCCCGCACAAGCGGCGGAGCAUGCGGAUUAAUUCGAUGCAACGCGUAGAACCUUACCUGGGUUUGACAUGGAUCGGGAGUGCUCAGAGAAGGGUGUGCCUCUUUUGGGGUCGGUUCACAGGUGGUGCAUGGCUGUCGUCAGCUCGUGUCGUGAGAUGUUGGGUUAAGUCCCGCAACGAGCGCAACCCUUGUUCACUGUUGCCAGCACGUUAUGGUGGGGACUCAGUGGAGACCGCCGGGGUCAACUCGGAGGAAGGUGGGGAUGACGUCAAGUCAUCAUGCCCCUUAUGUCCAGGGCUUCACGCAUGCUACAAUGGCUGGUACAGAGAGUGGCGAGCCUGUGAGGGUGAGCGAAUCUCGGGAAGCCGGUCUCAGUUCGGAUUGGGGUCUGCAACUCGACCUCAUGAAGUCGGAGUCGCUAGUAAUCGCAGAUCAGCAACGCUGCGGUGAAUACGUUCCCGGGGCU